RNAcentral lists this transfer RNA (77 nucleotides) under Pardosa laura. RNAcentral describes it as "tRNA-Gly". Lineage: Eukaryota; Metazoa; Arthropoda; Arachnida; Araneae; Lycosidae. The record is from RNAcentral.
AUUAAUAUAUAUAUAUAUAUAUAAGUAUAUAAGUAUUAUAGUAUAUUUAAUUUCCAAUUAAAAGGAGAAUGAAUUAU